RNAcentral lists this transfer RNA (93 nucleotides) under Rikenellaceae bacterium. RNAcentral describes it as "tRNA-Ser". It matches the Rfam family "tRNA". Rfam says of the family: Transfer RNA (tRNA) molecules are approximately 80 nucleotides in length. The record is from RNAcentral. Lineage: Bacteria; Pseudomonadati; Bacteroidota; Bacteroidia; Bacteroidales; Rikenellaceae.
GGAGAGAUGGGUGAGUGGCUGAAACCACCAGUUUGCUAAACUGACGUACGGGGUUUACCUGUACCGGGGGUUCGAAUCCCCCUCUCUCCGCCA